Molecule: ribosomal RNA, 253 nt
Filed under: uncultured bacterium
Lineage: Bacteria
Description: partial 16S ribosomal RNA
Rfam family: Bacterial small subunit ribosomal RNA
Source: RNAcentral
UACGGGGGGGGCAAGCGUUGUUCGGAAUUACUGGGCGUAAAGGGCUCGUAGGUGGCCAACUAAGUCAGACGUGAAAUCCCCAGGCUUAACCUGGGAACUGCGUCUGAUACUGGAUGGCUUGAAUUCGGGAGAGGGAUGCAGAAUUCCAGGUGUAGCGGUGAAAUGCGUAGAUAUCUGGAGGAAUACCGGUGGCGAAGGCGGCAUCCUGGACCAAUUCUGACACUGAGGAGCGAAAGCCAGGGGAGCAAACGGG